AACGAACGCUGGCGGCAGGCUUAACACAUGCAAGUCGAACGCGUGCAGCAAUGCACGAGUGGCGCACGGGUGAGUAACGCGUGGAUAUCUGCCUUUUGGUUCGGAAUAACCCCGGGAAACUGGGGCUAAUACCGGAUGGUUCCUACGGGAUAAAGAUUUAUCGCCAAAAGAUGAGUCCGCGUCCGAUUAGCUAGUUGGUGAGGUAAUGGCUCACCAAGGCGACGAUCGGUAGCUGGUCUGAGAGGACGAUCAGCCACACUGGGACUGAGACACGGCCCAGACUCCUACGGGAGGCAGCAGUGGGGAAUAUUGGACAAUGGAGGCAACCCUGAUCCAGCCAUGCCGCGUGAGUGAUGAAGGCCUUCGGGUUGUAAAGCUCUUUUGGCGGGGACGAUGAUGACGGUACCCGCAGAAUAAGCCCCGGCUAACUUCGUG
This 435-nucleotide ribosomal RNA is filed under the name uncultured bacterium. RNAcentral describes it as "partial 16S ribosomal RNA". It matches the Rfam family "Bacterial small subunit ribosomal RNA", at positions 29 to 507 of the family's 1533-position model. The record is from RNAcentral.